Molecule: long non-coding RNA, 5940 nt
Filed under: Homo sapiens (human)
Lineage: Eukaryota; Metazoa; Chordata; Mammalia; Primates; Hominidae
Description: HSALNT0363995
Source: RNAcentral
GUCGGUUUAGUCAUCUUUUUGACACAUUUACAGAACAGCCACCUCUGUGCCACAAUGCUACUGGGACGCAGAGGUGAAGAGGUGCCACCACCGUCAAGAGGCCUUGGAGAAAGACCAUGGCACAUUAAAGAUAGUGUAGCUGAGGUUCAGGGAAGUAAAACAUCAAGGUCUGAUGACAACCAAGUAUUUCCGAAGUCCAAAAGACCAUACAAGGUCGGGCAUGGUGGCUCACACCUGCAAUCCCAGUACUUUGGGAGGCGGAGGGAGGCGGAUCACUGGAAGCCAGGAAUUCAAUACCAGCCUGGCUGACAUGGUGAAAUCCUAUCUCUACUAAAAAUACAAAAAUUAGCUGGGCAUAGUGGUGCACGCCUGUAGUCCCAGCUACUGAGGAGGCUGAGGCAGGAGAAUUGUUUGAACCUGGGAGGUGGAGGUUGCAGUGAGCCAAGAUCGCACCACUGCACUCACUGCACUCACUCCAGCCCGGGCGACAGAGCGAGACUGUCUCUCAAAAAAAAAAAAAAAAAAAAAAAAAAAAAAAAAAAACACAACAAGAAUUAUUUCCCAGAUUGUUCACUGUUGACAUAUAGAAAUGCUACUGAUUUUUGUAUGCUGAUUUUGUAUCCUGCAACUUUACUGAAUUUAUCAGUUGUAAUAGUUGUUGUUUUUUUUUUUUUUUGGUGAAGUCUUUAGGUUUUUCCAAAUAUGAGAUCAUAUCAUGAGCAAACAAGGAUAAUUUGACUUCCUGGGAGGAGGGAUAAUUAACGGGCACCUUAAAUCUCUAAAACCUUGGUAAAGUGCUUUGUUUUAUAAAAUAGAUAAUAGUUAGAAUUUUGUGUUUUGUCUAUGGAUGUCUACACAUUAUUUUAGACCCUGGAAAUACAGGUGCCACAGCUGACAUUUUAUUUGCUAAAUUUCAACAAUAACCAUCAUCAAACAGUGAAAAAUGAACAGGAAUAAAUAGCAUGGGAACAUUAAGUGGCCAAAGGGUAUGAGAAAAAUGUUAGGAAAUUCUUGUUAUCUGUGCAAUUAGAAACAAAAUAAACCAAAGAAUUGAAUUAAUGACAAGAAGUGAUAUAUAUUGAACUAAAAUAUGUUAGCAUCUAGUCAUUUCUAUUUCUAAAAUAUCAUAGUAAAGGGAAGAAAAGCCAUUGUAUUCAACUGCUCAGAAAUCUGACUGUGAGUACUCCAGCAUCUACCUACCUUUGACUAUGGACUUCUGAAGACUAUAGUACUAGCACUAGCAGGGAACAACAUUCAAAGAACCUUGGACUGGGCAACCAGCCUUGCGAUUAAAUGCUUCUUGCUCAAUGUUCAUCUAAUACCUUUGGGUUCCAAGAUCUCAACACAUUCUUAGCAUUUGGUCUCAGCAAAAGAUCAGAUAAUCAUUUGCUUCUCAGCGUAGAUUUCAGUUAGUGGGUUUGAUUUCCUCAUCUAGUACUAUUUGCCUCUUAAAUCAAAUGUCCAAAAAGAAAUAAGGACAGGGCAAAAGGCAAUAUGCAAAAGGCACCAGAAGCUACUAUGCGGGGGUUUCCUUUUUGCUGUAGUCUCAGAAAUGGCAGGGAGGGGUCAGAAGUUUUUGCCCUAUUAGGAAGUAAGGCAGAAUUCCCCACAGUGAUGUCACAGACAAGACUUAGUUAAGGAGGGGCUAGAAAGUAAUAAAAGAAUGGAAUGAUAUGUUUUCUCCCCUGACAACCCACACCGUUCUCUUAGAGGCAGGGAAAAGAGAAAGAAGGUGGAAGUUGGAGAAAGAAUGGUAGAGUAUUAGGCAAAGAAAAUAAAAGUCUUCCCUCAUAGAAGAAGAAAGCAUCAUUCUAGUAACUCCCCAUCCCUACCCUAUCUCAAGUGCAGCUAAUGGUGAGAAGUAGAAAAUGUUUUGUCAAUAAAUGAAUCACAAAUGAGUUCCUCUCUAUAUUCCGUAAGACACAUUCUGUGUAGAUCCUGUAAUUAAGGAGUUCCAAACUUAGCUAAGAAGCCAUGUACAUUUUUAAAAUAUAAAGCAGCACAAAUACAGCAUUAAGUCAGAAGUAAUAUUAGGAGUUUAGAGGCAUGAACAACUGCUGUAGCUCAGAGUGGUUUGAGAAAGCUUUGUAAGCAAAAGACCCGAGGCCAGGCCAGGUCAGUAUGAAGGCCUGGACUACAUUAUCCUUCCUAGUUCAUCUUCUUUCUUUGGCUCAGUCAGCAAGGAACUUCUAAACAUAUAAAAACAAUACACCAUCAAAUGUCUUACAAAAGUACUCCAUAAAGUAUAAAAUGUUAAGUAUGUUACCUGACUCUUCAGGAGAGCAGGAUGAAGUGAAUUAUCUGUUACCAUCACCAUCAUAAGAGCAUUGAAUGUUCAAUGUUCAAUUCAAUGCCAGACACUGCACUGUUGGCUGGAUAACAUAAUGCCUAUUCAUAAUCCCUUUUCCUUGUUUGUCCUUAAUUAGAGAGUCUAGGCAAACAGAAUGUUUACUUUCCUGGUAACUGGAGGUAUCCACAUGUCACAGUUCUGAAUAAUAAGACAUAAGUAGAAAUCUUUUGGAGGUUCCUGGGAAAGCUUUUGCUUCUCUUGCUACCAUGAGGCUGAAAGCCCACACACUAGAUGGCUGGCUGGGAAGACAGAAGAAGCAUGCUUGAUUGCAACACUGACUGUCUACACCAAAGGCAGGAACUGCUUAUUCUAGACUUCUUGUAAUGUGAGAAAAAUCAACUAUUUAACACACUAUGCGCUUUCUCUUACAUAAACUGAAAAUAUUCCUGAGAUAAAUGCUUACCAUGUGCGUGGCCAAGGUUAUAAAGUAGGUAGGUGACAAAAACAGAAUUCAAUCCCAUUUCUGACAGACCCAAAGCCCUGACCUUAACCAAUACACUAACAAGGAUACACACAGUGUCAAAAAAACCAGAUAUCUUAAUGACCAGUACUGUGGUUGUUCUGGUUUGAAGGACCAGUCAUCCCAUGAUUGUCACAGCCAUUCUCCUCAUAAAACUUUACAUUCUGGGAACACCUUAAUAAUAUGCUCCAAAAACAAUGACUCCAAAUUUCACUGGGUUUUAGACUAAGGGCAACGAGACUGAAUUUACUGAUUCAUACAUACUGGUCAUCUUCUCCUGAUUCCCUGUACACCCCCACAUUUUUUUUUUUGAGACAGAAUCUCACUCCGUUGCCCAGGCUGGAGUGCAGUGGCGUCAUCUCAGCUCACUACAACCUCCGCCUCCCAGGUUCAAGCAAUUUUUGUGCGUCAACCUCCCGAGUAACUGGGAUUAUAGGCAUGUGUCACCACACCCAGCUAAUUUUUUUUUUAUUUUUAGUAGAGAUAGGGAUUUGCCAUGUUGGCCAGGCUGGUCUUGAACUCCUGGCCUCAACUGAUCUACCUGUCUCGGCCUCCCAAAGUGCUGAGAUUACAGGCAUGAGCCACUGUGACAGGCCCUGAUUCCUUUCAUGACAAAUCUAUGACACUCUUCUUUCAUUUUGAAUUUCUUUCACACUUGAAAUCCAGAAAAAUAUAACAUUUGCCUAGCCAAACUUGCCCUGUUCUCUUUUCUUUUUUUGCACCCAUUUGGGGUUUCAAGAUGGUCACAAGUCAGUCCUGCCCUUGUUUUUCAUACAAUAGACAAGUGUCAUUUCAACAGACUAAGCAUCUGAUAACACUUAAAAAAUAAAUAGCAGACUAUAUCUGGAGAGCCGCUUAUGCCCUACAAUACAACAAAUUGGAAGAUCAUUCAGUAAUAUUUCAAAGCCCCACACAACACUGAGCUGAUGGUGGCAGUGAUCAACUGUUGACAGCUGUUAAGGUUCUCAUGAAAUGCACUCCUCAUCUGUGGUUAUGACUGGCCAUUACAUAGGAGGAUUAAUGGGGCUGCUUUUGACUGUCAUGGAAAGUGUAAGAUAUGUUCUUUAUGUAGAUCCCUAAGAGCAAACAUCCCCUCUACAGAGCUGAUAGGUCACCUGCCUCAACCAAUUAGCUAAUUGUCUGAAAUCACUCCUCAUAGAUCACGGAAAACUGACUUGUGAAUAAACUCUGUUCAUACAGAAAGCAAGAGCCUUUUGUUUCCUUUUGAAGACCUUAUUCAACUCUAAGGCCCCUUCCAACCACAAAAUUCUAAAUUCUACAAAUGUGAACAAUCAGCUCCAAUGAAUGAAUCCUUCCAGCUUUAUGGCAAAUGAGUGCUUUUUUGACUACGGGUUGUUUUUCUUUUUAAAGAGAAAAUUGUUUUUUAAAUGUAGCUUCCUGACUGCACCAGGUGUGAAAUGGUAAAUAAAAGAACAAGCAGUUGUGUUGACCAUCUUUGGUUGUUUCCUUCAAAGCUUACCAGACUGAUGUCAUUCUGGAUGUUUUCUAUUCUGCUUACCAAGCUCGGUUUUCCUAGAAAAAGUCUGUAGAAUGACUGCCCUAAUCCUAAUCAAAACAUACCAUCAUAUUCUAAAAGCUCAGGGCUAUCUGGGAGAUUGGUAGCUAGCUCUCACUGAAUAAAGAGGAGUGAGUAGCCCCUUUUUCGUGGAUAAUUCUAGGAACUGGCAAGACAGUCUUUCUCUUUGGCCUCCUGGAUGAACAAAGAUGGGCUGAGAAUCAAUGAUGUUGCCCUAAGUGACAAGAUGCCUUUAUUCACACUGUGCAUACACCCUCUCAUGGACCCUUAUUUUUCUGCUCCCAAAUAUAGUAUUUUGUUCAGAUUUCUACCCUUUCCUGUGUCAUUCCUCCUAUCACUUUGAAAUCUUUCUUCAAAAGUCUAAAAUUCCACAAAUGAAGAUGAACAAAGGGAAAGCUUAUAUCUGUCUCAUCUGGGAACCCUGGAAAAGCUACACUGCUUAUGUGAAGAGGAAAAAAAAAAAAAAAAGAUGGGCAGGAGUUUAGUAAGACUGGGGGAAGAGAGAAAAGGAAACUCCCCAGGAAAGGAAGAAAACAAAGUAUUUACCACGUGACAGAUACCACCAUGAUAAGUACUUACACAUAAAUUCUCAUCUGUACCUCACAACCUCACAACAGAUGACCCUAGGAAAGGGUGUAUCUCUCAAAGCCUUUAACCAGUUUAAGAAAUUUGCCCAAGGUAAAUCUAGGUCUCAAACCCAGAUCUGGCUCAAAAUCAUCUCUUUCCUCAUCACAAUGGUGAUCAGCCGCAUGGAAGCAGGAAGGGAUAAGCCUCAUUUAAGGAACAGUAAACCUCCCUCCCACCUCCCUACUACCAUGCCCAAGAUAUUUUUCAUCUUCAGCAACAUUCAAAGAUGCUCUUUCUUGAUGCCUAUAAAAUGAAGUCAAGUUCAUGUGCCUGGCAUUAAAGGUGACUCCAGUUCAGCUAGAAGCUCCUGAUUAUAUCUACUAUCUUACUUUACCCUGUACCCCAUGACUUUAUUCUUGAGUCUAUGGUUUCACAUCUCUCAUCCAAUAAAGGAAGCACAUGCUUUUAUUGGAUAUAUUCAUUUAUUCAUUCAACAUUUAUUGAAUGCCUAUUAUGUGUCAUUUCUUCAAUACACUUUUAUUGAGCAAUUGCUAUGCUCUAGGCAUAUUGGUAAUAUUGGUAAAUGGUAAAUAUCGGAGAAUGACAACGAGAUAUAUUUAGGGAAUAAGUAUAGAAUACUAAAUGCUGGUGUGACAGGAGAUACCAAUGUAAUCCUCUUGAAUAAUCAUUGCCUUUAGAUGUGCUGAGCUGAAUCACUAGUAGACCCUGGGAUUAAGGCUUAGGUAUAGUUUAAGUUCAAUUCAAAUAUGUCAUCAAAUUGAGAUGAUGAAAGAAGCAACCAUAAUGAUCCUGCACUAGGGUCAUCAGCUCCAGGACUGCCAAUGGUUUCUUAAAAGAUAUCAUUUAAUGCCUAUCCUCACGAAUCUCAUCAAGUAGUCAACAAUUUCACUUUGGUUACACCUAAUGUCACUCUUGGGGUCUUGUUUAAAUGGUGACUCCUAAAGAACAAAUAUUCAGAACCUGCUAGGUACUUGCCCGCCAUACUCUUUGUUUCCCAAAACUCAC